Molecule: transfer RNA, 66 nt
Filed under: Mileewa ponta
Lineage: Eukaryota; Metazoa; Arthropoda; Insecta; Hemiptera; Cicadellidae
Description: tRNA-Val
Source: RNAcentral
UCGGAUAGUAGCUUAUUAAAAAGUUUAUUAUUUACAUUAAUAAGAAAAAUUUUGUUUCUUUCCGAU